AAUCCUAAUUAUGCUGCUGAAGAUUGUUGGAAUGGCAUGGAGAGGGCUCUUAACUUUGCUGAUAAUCAAGUGUUGAGAAAAUAUGGUUUUGUGCAUAACAGUCUCAUGGAUAAGGCUGUUUCACCUAUACCUUUUGAUUAUCCUGCUGUGUGAUACAAUAAGAUAAAUCCAUAUUUAUUCCUGUGUAUCUUAUUGUUAAGGUUAUUUUUUAGUUUUGUUUGAAAAGGUUAUUAUUAAUAAAAUAAUUAAGAGUAAAGUAAAAAUUUAUUGCCUGUCCCAAUUUGGUCCUAAAAAACUGAAAAACCCAAAGUAAAUAAGUAAUCCCAAAAAUAUCAAAUGCGAGUCAAAUUAAUCAUUUUAAACAUGUUUUAUGACAUUUGUUAUUAUAAGCAAAUGCAUUAAAAAUGGGCACAAGGGUACUAAUAUCAAAUGCCAUGAUGAUUAAGCAAAUAUAAGUCAAAAUAGUCUAUAUCAUAUGUCAUAAAUUGAGUAUUAUAUCAUCAUUCACAUAAUUGAGUACUAGUUUUUUAUUUUUUGGACAUCAAAUCAGUAUACACUAAAAUUUCUAAGGAUUAAAGUGUGUAUUCACUCAAUAAUUAAAAACACAAUAAUUUAGUUGGCUGCAUUUAAUGAUCAAGCCAAAUUUAAGGUCCAAGUCUUUAAUGGAACAUUUAAAAUAUAAAUAAUAAAAAAAUUACCAGUAGCUAUAAUAAAAUAAAAAAAUAUAACUAUACUGAAUUAUUUAUUUAUGAAAUAAAAAUAUAGUUUUUUUAAAUGUGUAAAAGUUGAUAGUAAUAUUUGAAUGAUUCAUAGGGUUCUGUUAUGAAACCCAUAAGAAGAUAAGACAAUCCGCACCUCUACACAAUUGAACAAGUUACACUACCAUACGCUACCCAAUACAAAAAAACAAAUGAACGCAUUCUUAAAAAUGGCAUCAUCACAAGAAGAACACACACAGCAUCACAAUAAGAACUCUCACACCAUCACAAGAAGAACACACACAUGGCUUCAAAGUUCAAUUCUAGAAGCAAACCCUCACCAUUGCUCUCAAAUGGUUGCAUCUUCCUUGGAGGAGCAUUAUCAACACUUCUCCUAGUUUGGGGUUUAUGCUCCUUCAUCAUUCCAAUUCCAAACUCCGACCCCAAACUCGACUUAGUAGCUACAAAACUAAAAUCACUAAAUUGCACCACUGACACCAUCACCAUUGUGGCACCCGAUACGUUGCAUGAUGCACUUGAAAGAACCUUUUAUGAUGAUCCUGAAAUGGCUUACACCAUGGACAAUCCAAUGAAAAAUUGGGAUGAGAAGCGUUUGGAGUGGCUACAACAUCAUCCAUCAUUCUUAGCAGGAGCACGAGAAAGGGUGCUUCUCGUGACAGGGUCACAACCCUCACGGUGCCGCAACCCUAUUGGGGAUCAUCUUCUCUUAAGAUUUUUUAAGAAUAAAGUUGAUUAUUGUCGAUUACAUAACUAUGAUAUAUUCUAUAACAAUGUGUUGAUCCAUCCAAAGAUGAACAUUUAUUGGGCCAAGUAUCCGAUGGUUCGGGCCACCAUGAUGGCCCACCCAGAGGUUGAGUGGGUUUGGUGGGUCGACUCGGAUGCGGUCUUCACUGACAUGGAGUUUAAGCUCCCACUGAACCGUUACAAGAACCAUAAUCUUGUGGUUCAUGGUUGGGAGGAGCUUAUACACCUUAAUCGUAGCUGGACUGGGCUAAACGCUGGCGUUUUUUUGAUGAGGAAUUGCCAGUGGUCAUUGGACUUUAUGGACGCGUGGACCAGCAUGGGCCCACAAUCACCAGAGUAUGAGAAAUGGGGUGAGGUCCAAAGAUCCACAUUCAAGGACAAGGUACGUAUACUACAAUAGAUCCUCUUAAUUUUAGUCUAAGCAUAUCACAUGUGACAGAAUUUGAUUUUAACGAUAAUUACCUAAUAUUAGAUAUUAAUAUGUGGCAUGUGAUCGCUGCUUUUUACAUUAUUAUUUUAAUUUUUUUAUAACAAACUCAUUAUAUGGUAUGUGCCAUGUUAAAUUCAGUAUGCAUUACAUAAACUAAUUGAAUUUUUUUUAUAUAAUUAUCAUUCAAACUAUUUCUCAUCCCAUCUUUUGGUAUUAAGUAUGCAUAUUUUUAGAAGUACCAUUCUCUAUAUUUUCCGCCCAUUCCAUAAAGUAAACACGACUACACUAAGUACUAGCUAUGAUUUCAACAAUUUCUCUUUUAUGUAUAAACCAUGUAUACCUUACUGAUGACAUAUCAUUAUCAUGCAUUGGAAAAAGUUGUUUGUUCAAGUCACAUUUGUCAUCCUAGAAAUGAAUUUUUGUAUCUAUAAUUAAUACUACUGUCAUAUAAAAAUGUACAUAAUUACAUUCAUUUUUUUGUUGCAAUAAUCUCAUUCUUAUUUUGAUUAUAAACUAAUAUUGUUAUGUCAUGUUCGGUAUAAUUUUUAAUUGACAUAUAAUGAAAUUUUUGAGAAGUCUUAAGAAUGAUUUAAAUAUAUGAUAGAUUAAUUUAUUUUAUUCUGUUUUUUCUCUUCAACUCUUCACCUGGUCUAACACAUGCUGAAAAAUAAGAUUGAUAUUGUUUAUUAUAUUAUUUUAUACAUGAUUUAAACACAUGUUGAAUUAUUUCUCUGAUUAUUAAUUGAUUUUGAGAUUUAACCUUAACCCAAAUUAGAACCAAAAUGAAUUUUUUCUUUAUGGAAAACUAAUAUAAUCUAAACCUCCAUAAGGUGAUGCCAGAGUCAGAUGACCAAACAGCCCUUGCUUACCUGAUAGCAGUAGAGAAGGACAAGUGGACAAACAAGAUAUACUUAGAGGACAACUACUACUUCGAAGGUUAUUGGUUAGAGAUUGAAAAAACAUACAACAACAUAAGCAAGAAAUACAAUGAGUUAGAGAGACAAGUGAAAGGGUUAAGGAGAAGACAUGCAGAAAAGGUAAGUGAAACUUAUGGUGCAAUGAGAGAAGGGUACCUUAAUAAUAUAGGGCAGUGGAGGAGGCCAUUUAUCACUCACUUCACUGGGUGUCAACCAUGUAAUGGGCACCAUAAUCCUAAUUAUGCUGCUGAAGAUUGUUGGAAUGGCAUGGAGAGGGCUCUUAACUUUGCUGAUAAUCAAGUGUUGAGAAAAUAUGGUUUUGUGCAUAACAGUCUCAUGGAUAAGGCUGUUUCACCUAUACCUUUUGAUUAUCCUGCUGUGUGAUACAAUAAGAUAAAUCCAUAUUUAUUCCUGUGUAUCUUAUUGUUAAGGUUAUUUUUUAGUUUUGUUUGAAA
RNAcentral lists this long non-coding RNA (3265 nucleotides) under Lupinus angustifolius (narrow-leaved blue lupine). RNAcentral's name for it is "long non-coding RNA (LANG_LNC002654)". The record is from RNAcentral. Lineage: Eukaryota; Viridiplantae; Streptophyta; Magnoliopsida; Fabales; Fabaceae.